UCUCUGGUAGUAUAUCGGUUAGUAUACGCGCCUGUCAUUAUAGUGAUAGUUAUACGUGGGAAAGCUGGGUUCGACUCCCAGCCAGAGAG
Molecule: non-coding RNA, 89 nt
Organism: Guyanagaster necrorhizus
Lineage: Eukaryota; Fungi; Basidiomycota; Agaricomycetes; Agaricales; Physalacriaceae
Source: the annotation of a RefSeq genome assembly